This 1024-nucleotide ribosomal RNA is filed under the name uncultured bacterium. RNAcentral's name for it is "bacterial SSU rRNA". It matches the Rfam family "Bacterial small subunit ribosomal RNA", at positions 69 to 1065 of the family's 1533-position model. The record is from RNAcentral.
GAUCCCUUCGGGGUGAUUUGUUGGACGCUAGCGGCGGAUGGGUGAGUAACACGUGGGCAAUCUGCCCUAAAGACUGGGAUACCACUUGGAAACAGGUGCUAAUACCGGAUAACAACAUGAAUCGCAUGAUUCAAGUUUGAAAGGCGGCGCAAGCUGUCACUUUAGGAUGAGCCCGCGGCGCAUUAGCUAGUUGGUGGGGUAAAGGCCUACCAAGGCAAUGAUGCGUAGCCGAGUUGAGAGACUGAUCGGCCACAUUGGGACUGAGACACGGCCCAAACUCCUACGGGAGGCAGCAGUAGGGAAUCUUCCACAAUGGGCGCAAGCCUGAUGGAGCAACACCGCGUGAGUGAAGAAGGGUUUCGGCUCGUAAAGCUCUGUUGUUAGAGAAGAACGUGCGUGAGAGCAACUGUUCACGCAGUGACGGUAUCUAACCAGAAAGUCACGGCUAACUACGUGCCAGCAGCCGCGGUAAUACGUAGGUGGCAAGCGUUAUCCGGAUUUAUUGGGCGUAAAGCGAGCGCAGGCGGUUUGAUAAGUCUGAUGUGAAAGCCUUUGGCUUAACCAAAGAAGUGCAUCGGAAACUGUCAGACUUGAGUGCAGAGGAGGACAGUGGAACUCCAUGUGUAGCGGUGGAAUGCGUAGAUAUAUGGAAGAACACCAGUGGCGAAGGCGGCUGUCUGGUCUGCAACUGACGCUGAGGCUCGAAAGCAUGGGUAGCGAACAGGAUUAGAUACCCUGGUAGUCCAUGCCGUAAACGAUGAGUGCUAGGUGUUUGGAAGGGUUUCCGCCCUUCAGUGCCGCAGCUAACGCAUUAAGCACUCCGCCUGGGGGAGUACGACCGCAAAGGUUGAAACUCAAAGGAAAUUGACGGGGGCCCGCACAAGCGGUGGAACCAUGUGGGUUUAAUUCGAAGCUACGCGAAGAACCUUACCAGGUCUUGACAUCUUGCGCCACCCUAGAAGAAUAGGGCGUUUCCUUCGGGAACGCAAUGACAGGCGGGUGCAUGGUCGUCGUCAGCUCGUGU